GCGCGGUUAGCUCAGUUGGUAGAGCAGCGCUUUUACACAGCGAAGGUCAGGGGUUCAAAUCCCUUACCGCGCA
This 73-nucleotide transfer RNA is filed under the name Minisyncoccota bacterium. Its description in RNAcentral is "tRNA-Val". It matches the Rfam family "tRNA". From Rfam's summary of the family: Transfer RNA (tRNA) molecules are approximately 80 nucleotides in length. Their secondary structure includes four short double-helical elements and three loops (D, anti-codon, and T loops). The record is from RNAcentral. Lineage: Bacteria; Bacillati; Minisyncoccota.